Molecule: transfer RNA, 73 nt
Filed under: Candidatus Flexifilum breve
Lineage: Bacteria; Bacillati; Chloroflexota; Anaerolineae; Aggregatilineales; Candidatus Flexifilaceae
Description: tRNA-Asp
Rfam family: tRNA
About the family: Transfer RNA (tRNA) molecules are approximately 80 nucleotides in length. Their secondary structure includes four short double-helical elements and three loops (D, anti-codon, and T loops).
Source: RNAcentral
GGAGACGUGGUGUAGCGGUUAACAUAUUGCCCUGUCAAGGCAAAGAUCGCGGGUUCGAACCCCGUCGUCUCCG